Molecule: ribosomal RNA, 420 nt
Filed under: bacterium
Lineage: Bacteria
Description: partial 16S ribosomal RNA
Rfam family: Bacterial small subunit ribosomal RNA
Source: RNAcentral
UGGGGGAUAUUGCACAAUGGGCGAAAGCCUGAUGCAGCGACGCCGCGUGGGGGAUGAAGGCUUUCGGGUUGUAAACCUCUUUCGCUAUCGAACAAGGCCCGCUUAGGGUGGGUUGAGGGUAGGUGGAGAAGAAGCGCCGGCUAACUACGUGCCAGCAGCCGCGGUAAUACGUAGGGCGCGAGCGUUGUCCGGAAUUAUUUGGCGUAAAGGGCUUGUAGGCGGCUUGUUGCGCCUGCUGUGAAAACGCGGGGCUUAACUUCGCGCGUGCAGUGGGUACGGUCAGGAUGGAGUGUGGUAGGGGUGACUGGAAUUCCAGGUGUAGCGGUGGAAUGCGCAGAUAUCUGGAGGAACACCGAUGGCGAAGGCAGGUCACUGGGCCAUUACUGACGCUGAGGAGCGAAAGCAUGGGUAGCGAACAGG